AAUCAACGCUGGCGGCGUGCCUCAGACAUGCAAGUCGAACGAUUAAAGCUCUCUUCGGAGAGUGUAUAGAGUGGCGCACGGGUGAGUAACACGUAAGUAAUCUACCUUCGAGUGGGGAAUAACGUCCGGAAACGGACGCUAAUACCGCAUAAUGCAGCGGCAUCGCAAGAUGACAGUUGUUAAAGAUUUAUCGCUUGAAGAGGAGCUUGCGGCAGAUUAGCUAGUUGGUAAGGUAAUGGCUUACCAAGGCUACGAUCUGUAACCGGUCUAAGAGAACGGUCGGUCACACUGACACUGAAUAACGGGUCAGACUCCUACGGGAGGCAGCAGUCGGGAAUUUUGGGCAAUGGGCGAAAGCCUGACCCAGCAACGCCGCGUGAAGGAUGAAGUAUUUCGGUAU
RNAcentral lists this ribosomal RNA (400 nucleotides) under uncultured bacterium. RNAcentral's name for it is "bacterial SSU rRNA". It matches the Rfam family "Bacterial small subunit ribosomal RNA", at positions 32 to 424 of the family's 1533-position model. The record is from RNAcentral.